RNAcentral lists this ribosomal RNA (468 nucleotides) under uncultured bacterium. RNAcentral's name for it is "bacterial SSU rRNA". It matches the Rfam family "Bacterial small subunit ribosomal RNA", at positions 1 to 483 of the family's 1533-position model. The record is from RNAcentral.
AAUUCGCCCUUAGAGUUUGAUCCUGGCUCAGAAUGAACGCUGGCGGCGUGCUUAACACAUGCAAGUCGAACGAUGAAGCCUUAGCUUGCUAAGGUGGAUUAGUGGCGCACGGGUGAGUAAUAUAUAGAUAACGUGCCUCCGAGACCGGGAUAGCCAUUGGAAACGAUGAUUAAUACUGGAUACUCCUUCUCAUUCAAAUAUGAGUCGGGAAAGUUUUUCGCUCGGAGAUCGGUCUAUAUCCCAUCAGUUAGUUGGUAAGGUAACGGCUUACCAAGACAAUGACGGGUAGCGGGUUUGAGAGGAUGAUCCGCCACACUGGUACUGAGACACGGACCAGACUCCUACGGGAGGCAGCAGUGAGGAAUAUUGCACAAUGGGGGAAACCCUGAUGCAGCAACGCCGCGUGGAGGAUGACGCAUUUCGGUGUGUAAACUCCUUUUAUAGGUCAAGAAAAUGACGGUAGCCUAG